GAUGAACGCUGGCGGCGUGCUUAACACAUGCAAGUCGAACGAUGAAGCCCAGCUUGCUGGGUGGAUUAGUGGCGAACGGGUGAGUAACACGUGAGUAACCUGCCCUUAACUCUGGGAUAAGCCUGGGAAACUGGGUCUAAUACCGGAUAGGAGCGUCCACCGCAUGGUGGGUGUUGGAAAGAUUUAUCGGUUUUGGAUGGACUCGCGGCCUAUCAGCUUGUUGGUGAGGUAAUGGCUCACCAAGGCGACGACGGGUAGCCGGCCUGAGAGGGUGACCGGCGACAAGGGGAAUGAGAGAGGGCGGAGACUCAGAGGGGGGGAAAGGGGGGGAAAAAUGGAAGAUGGGGGGAGAGCGAGAGGCGGAGGGCCGGGGGGAGGAAGGAGGGCUUAUGGGUGAAAAACCUCUGUGAGAGGGAAAAAGGAAAAAGUGACGGUACCUGAAAAGAAAGACACGGAUAACUACGGG
This 466-nucleotide ribosomal RNA is filed under the name uncultured bacterium. Its description in RNAcentral is "partial 16S ribosomal RNA". It matches the Rfam family "Bacterial small subunit ribosomal RNA", at positions 28 to 507 of the family's 1533-position model. The record is from RNAcentral.